RNAcentral lists this ribosomal RNA (475 nucleotides) under uncultured bacterium. RNAcentral describes it as "bacterial SSU rRNA". It matches the Rfam family "Bacterial small subunit ribosomal RNA", at positions 15 to 507 of the family's 1533-position model. The record is from RNAcentral.
GAUCAUGGCUACAGGACGAACGCUGGCGGCGUGCCUAACACAUGCAAGUCGAACGAGGUCCAUCCUUCGGGAGAAGACCUAGUGGCGAACGGGUGAGUAACACGUGAAGAACCUGCCCCGAAGACCGGGAUAACCCUCCGAAAGGAGAGCUAAUACCGGAUACCCCCACCGAACCGCAUGGUUUGGUGAGGAAAUGGAUUCCGCUUCGGGAGGGCUUCGCGGCCUAUCAGCUAGUUGGUGGGGUAACGGCCCACCAAGGCAUCGACGGGUAGCUGGUCUGAGAGGACGAUCAGCCACACUGGGACUGAGACACGGCCCAGACUCCUACGGGAGGCAGCAGUGGGGAAUCUUGCGCAAUGGGCGAAAGCCUGACGCAGCAACGCCGCGUGGGGAUGAAGGCUCUCGGGUUGUAAACCCCUUUCAGCAGGGACGAAUCAAGACGGUACCUGCAGAAGAAGCCCCGGCUAACUACGUG